GCUGGGGUCUCCUAGCCUGGUAGGGAGCGGGCCUGCUAAGUCCGUGAGCCUUGCUCACAUGGGUUCGAAUCCCAUCCCCGGCGCCA
This 86-nucleotide transfer RNA is filed under the name Candidatus Bathyarchaeota archaeon. RNAcentral's name for it is "tRNA-Ser". It matches the Rfam family "tRNA". Rfam says of the family: Transfer RNA (tRNA) molecules are approximately 80 nucleotides in length. Their secondary structure includes four short double-helical elements and three loops (D, anti-codon, and T loops). The record is from RNAcentral. Lineage: Archaea; Thermoproteati; Candidatus Bathyarchaeota.